Molecule: long non-coding RNA, 1012 nt
Filed under: Eutrema salsugineum
Lineage: Eukaryota; Viridiplantae; Streptophyta; Magnoliopsida; Brassicales; Brassicaceae
Description: long non-coding RNA (ESAL_LNC002205)
Source: RNAcentral
AGCAUUUAUUGUACCAUGUAUAAACAUAUAUGUUUCCUUCUAACAAUAUUUAUAACGCGAUAACUCAGUUAUUACCUAGUAACUCAAUUGUUAAGUUGCUACAUUGAAGCCAUUUUAACUUCUUCAGGCUUGAUGCACUUGCAGCCGUCCGGUACAGUUCAAGAAGCACAACCGUAACGCCAUAUUCCUCCUGGUUUUGUAGUAUAGUGAAUUACAUGUGCGUUUAGCAUACAAAAAUGCCAAAACAAUAAGAUAGUACAACUGAAUAAUCAUAUGAAAUGCUUACUUUAUUAACAUUGAAGUUAUCUAGCAAACAUAUUUGUUAUCCGUAAGUUUAGCUUAUCAUUUACAGGUGUUCAAAAUCCAUCAUUACCAACAGAAUCCCAAAAAUAAAAGAACGAGUUGAGGAAAGCAAACAUUUCGGAAAAAAAGAAAGAUAAAAGAGUAAAUAAACAAAACCUAGAAAAGAGAAAAGAGUAGAGAGAAGAGGAAGCACCAUGAAAUUUUCUAGAUAAGGAAAAUCUGAGCACUUGAUUGGAAGAAAAAAGACGAUUCCUCUUAUAUGAUUCUCGUUUCACCUUGUUUCACCGACAAUUAUAGAUGUGGAUUUGAAAUGUUUGUGUAAAUCAUAAAUAGCUUGGUAAGAGGAUACAUGACUCAAACCAGAAUACUCAUCACAAGCAACUCAUGUGGUGCGGGCUUUCUUGUUGGGGCAUUGGGUGGUGCCUAUAGGGGCUAACAGUAGCCAUCACUUGGAAGGGUAUCGGCAAACCCUGUAGAUAUCUGUGUGAUAAAAAAUGGAGACAGGUAGACUUACGAGCUUUAAUUGUAGACGGGUCGGGUGUCACGGGUGGCAGACCGAUUCUUCUGUCCUUCGGGAAGAUAUGGAUUCGGGUGUCAUUCUCUGUUUGUUAAUGUUAAAUGGUGGAUGAGGAUUGAGAAUCGUAGCUGUUAUAAAUCAGAUUGAUGAUUGAUUUGGAAAUAGAGUUGAUUGCAAAAGAUGAAUUAAAAG